GGGGGCGUUUAUGGAUUCGACGGGGAUUGGACGAGCGCGGGCCAGCGGGUAGCAGGGAGUCGUCUGCUUCAUCAACGCUAAAGCCAAUUAAAUGGCAACCAAAAACAAUCCUACGCUUUCGCAGCUUAAUAACCUGUGAGCGUGCUUCUACCUCGCAUCGCCCAUGUGCUAGGAUAGGGGCUCAACUUUAGUGGGAUACGCCGAUCGGUCUCCGCCUGGGGUCGACGGAAGAAGACAAUCAGGCUGACCUGAAUAGAAGCCGGUCAUAGGGCGUCCGUUCAGGUGACAUCAAAUCUGUGACUACACCCGUAGAAGCAAGCGUGGCGUGAUCUUCGGACAGGGGUUCAACUCCCCUCGCCUCCACCA
Molecule: transfer-messenger RNA, 366 nt
Filed under: Paenibacillaceae
Lineage: Bacteria; Bacillati; Bacillota; Bacilli; Caryophanales
Also listed under: 1 other name
Description: Pristimantibacillus sp014705655 Standard tmRNA
Rfam family: transfer-messenger RNA
About the family: Bacterial tmRNA, also known as 10Sa RNA or SsrA, is named for its dual tRNA and mRNA-like properties. Its role is to liberate the mRNA from a stalled ribosome. To accomplish this part of the tmRNA is used as a reading frame that ends in a translation stop signal.
Source: RNAcentral